Molecule: ribosomal RNA, 676 nt
Filed under: Usnocetraria oakesiana
Lineage: Eukaryota; Fungi; Ascomycota; Lecanoromycetes; Lecanorales; Parmeliaceae
Description: SSU rRNA
Rfam family: Bacterial small subunit ribosomal RNA
Source: RNAcentral
CAAUAGCUACUUGCAUCAUUGUAAAUAUGAUGCAAGAUCGACUAUGUCGAAUAAAAUUCUAGGUAGAAUUAUGAUAAUGACAUUGUCUGCCUAUGUGUCUUGACCAAAUUACGUGCCAGCAGUCGCGGUAAUACGUAGAAGACUAGUGUUAUUCAUGUUUAAUCGGUUUAAAGGGUACCUAGACGGUAAAUAAAGCCUAAAAGGAAAGAAAUAAAGGGACUAAUUUACUAGAGUUACUUAUGAGGGGGUAUUAAAGUACUGCUGGUGUAGAGAUGAAAUUCUGUCAUACCUCUUUUCAAUAGAAAAAUAACGGCACAGGUAUAGGCGAAGGCAUCCCCUUAUGUGAUAACUGACGUUGAGGGACGAAGGCUUUGUGUAGCGAACAGGAUUAGAUACCCCAGUAGUCAAAGCAGAAAAUGAUGAAUGUCAUAGAUUAGAUGUAUAAGUUUAUUCUAUAAAUGAAAGUGUAAGCAUUCCACCUCAAGAGUAAUUUGGCAACAUUGGAACUGAAAUCAUUAGACCGUUUCUGAAACCAGUAGUGAAGUAUGUUGUUUAAUUUGAUGAUCCGCAAAAAACCUUACCACAAUUUGAAUAUUUUUACUUAUUGUUUUCUUUUUAAUUUUCUUCUGAUUUUCUGCCUGAGGAAAAAAGAAGAAAAGAAAAAAGAGGCAAUAAG